AAGAAAAGAUGCAGGUCCUUCAAGCAGCCAUCUACGCUUGCCGAUGCCUCCUAAAGAGUAACGGAAGUUGUGAGAAGGUAGGCUCGAGCAAAGAUUCUGCUCGUAAGUGUAAUGGUAUAAGCAUGCCUGGCUGUGAGACAGACUGGUAGAACAGAGACGAAAGUCGAGCAAAGGUACGCCGGGGAUAACAAGCUGAUGACACCAAAGAGAUUUUAUCGAUAGAGUCGCUUGGCACCUCGAUAUCGACUCAUCACAUCCUAGGGUUGAAAAAGGUCCCAAAGGUGUUCGCAGUUGCUAUCUUUUAGCAAUUUAAUGCGGUUGAAUGUGAUCUCGUUAACUCUGGUUUUUAU
Molecule: non-coding RNA, 350 nt
Filed under: Brassica napus (rape)
Lineage: Eukaryota; Viridiplantae; Streptophyta; Magnoliopsida; Brassicales; Brassicaceae
Description: Bacterial large subunit ribosomal RNA
Rfam family: Bacterial large subunit ribosomal RNA
Source: Rfam by way of RNAcentral